UACCAGCACCCCGAGUGGUCGGGACGUUUAUUGGGCCUGAAGCAUCCGUAGCCGGUUCUACAAGUCUUCCGUUAAAUCCAGCUGCUUAACAGAUGGGCUGCGGAAGAUACUAUGGAGCUAGGAGGCGGGAGAGGCAAGCGGUACUCGAUGGGUAGGGGUAAAAUCCGUUGAUCCAUUGAAGACCACCAGUGGCGAAGGCGGCUUGCCAGAACGCGCUCGACGGUGAGGGAUGAAAGCUGGGGGAGCAAACCGG
Molecule: ribosomal RNA, 253 nt
Filed under: uncultured bacterium
Lineage: Bacteria
Description: partial 16S ribosomal RNA
Rfam family: Archaeal small subunit ribosomal RNA
Source: RNAcentral